UCCGGUUUGUCACCGGCAGUCUCCUUAGAGUUCCCGCCAUUACGCGCUGGCAACUAAGGACAAGGGUUGCGCUCGUUGCGGGACUUAACCCAACAUCUCACGACACGAGCUGACGACAGCCAUGCAGCACCUGUGUUCUGAUUCCCGAAGGCACUCCCGCAUCUCUGCAGGAUUCCAGACAUGUCAAGGCCAGGUAAGGUUCUUCGCGUUGCAUCGAAUUAAACCACAUACUCCACCGCUUGUGCGGGCCCCCGUCAAUUCCUUUGAGUUUCACGCUUGCGCGCAUACUCCCCAGGCGGUCGACUUAACGCGUUAGCUUCGAUACUGAGCACCAAAGUGUGCCCAACAUCCAGUCGACAUCGUUUAGGGCGUGGACUAC
RNAcentral lists this unclassified non-coding RNA (379 nucleotides) under uncultured Rhodanobacteraceae bacterium. RNAcentral describes it as "contains 16S-23S intergenic spacer region". Lineage: Bacteria; Pseudomonadati; Pseudomonadota; Gammaproteobacteria; Lysobacterales; Rhodanobacteraceae. The record is from RNAcentral.